CCUGCCUGUAAGACUGGGAUAACUCCGGGAAACCGGAGCUAAUACCGGAUAGUUCCUUGAACCGCAUGGUUCAAGGAUGAAAGACGGUUUCGGCUGUCACUUACAGAUGGACCCGCGGCGCAUUAGCUAGUUGGUGGGGUAAUGGCUCACCAAGGCGACGAUGCGUAGCCGACCUGAGAGGGUGAUCGGCCACACUGGGACUGAGACACGGCCCAGACUCCUACGGGAGGCAGCAG
Molecule: ribosomal RNA, 236 nt
Filed under: Bacillus sp. 112a_4T
Lineage: Bacteria; Bacillati; Bacillota; Bacilli; Caryophanales; Bacillaceae
Description: partial 16S ribosomal RNA
Rfam family: Bacterial small subunit ribosomal RNA
Source: RNAcentral